AGUGAACGCUGGCGGUAGGCCUAACACAUGCAAGUCGAACGGCAGCACAGUAAGAGCUUGCUCUUACGGGUGGCGAGUGGCGGACGGGUGAGGAAUACAUCGGAAUCUACUUUUUCGUGGGGGAUAACGUAGGGAAACUUACGCUAAUACCGCAUACGACCUACGGGUGAAAGCAGGGGAUCUUCGGACCUUGCGCGAUUGAAUGAGCCGAUGUCGGAUUAGCUAGUUGGCGGGGUAAAGGCCCACCAAGGCGACGAUCCGUAGCUGGUCUGAGAGGAUGAUCAGCCACACUGGAGCUGAGACACGGUCCAGACUCCUACGGGAGGCAGCAGUGGGGAAUAUUGGACAAUGGGCGCAAGCCUGGUCCAGCCAUACCGCGUGGGUGAAGAAGGCCUUCGGGUUGUAAAGACCUUUUGUUGGGAAAGAAAAGCAGCAGGUUAAUACCCCGCUGUUCUGACGGUACCCAAAGAAUAAGCACCGGCUAACUUCGUG
RNAcentral lists this ribosomal RNA (492 nucleotides) under uncultured bacterium. RNAcentral describes it as "partial 16S ribosomal RNA". It matches the Rfam family "Bacterial small subunit ribosomal RNA", at positions 29 to 507 of the family's 1533-position model. The record is from RNAcentral.